UUGGAUAAAAUACUUUCAAAAAAAUUGAUAAACAGUUUUAUCACUACUCAACUCGUUUCCUCCCUCCCCUCUCGUGUCUCUCACUUCAACAGCCUCUCUCUCCAUCCUCCACCAGCCGCCGUUCAUGGCUGCCGGUAAAAUCUCCAUUCGUAAACUUCUCAUUCAAUUGAAAAUCAGAAGAUGCUUCUCAAGGUACUCUAGGAACAUAUCAAGAAUCCAAUAGACCAAUUGACAAGACCAAUACUUCUAAGUUGUUGAUGUGUUUUGAAGAAGUAACAAAUUGGAAAUAUGAAGCGGGUGCUUAAAAGAAUUGGAGAGGCAUCUUUUUUCUAGCCAAACUUGAAAUCUUCAAGAGUUAUUAGAUGCAUAUUUAGAAGUGGAGUCAUUUAUCUUUAUUGUGUUAGUGUAAGAAUUUUGCAUAUUUUCAAACUUCUAAUAUUUGUUCAUUCUAUCAUGAGCAUUUCUGAUGUUUGAAUAUAUUUUAUUAAUAUUUCCAUGCAUUUUGGAAGAAACUAACUUC
This is a long non-coding RNA of Vicia villosa (hairy vetch), 520 nucleotides long. RefSeq lists it as uncharacterized. The record is from RefSeq and is a predicted model, not a curated record. The transcript is spliced from 3 exons. Lineage: Eukaryota; Viridiplantae; Streptophyta; Magnoliopsida; Fabales; Fabaceae.